GCAUAUCAAUAAGCGGAGGAAAAGAAACCAACAGGGAUUGCCUCAGUAACGGCGAGUGAAGCGGCAAGAGCUCAACUUUGGAAUCGCUCCGGCGAGUUGUAGUCUGGAGGUGGCCACCACGAGGUGUUCUAGCAGCAGGCAAGUCCUUUGGAACAAGGCGCCAGCGAGGGUGACAGCCCCGUACCUGCUUUUGCUAGUGCUUCCUGUGGCCCACCGACGAGUCGAGUUGUUUGGGAAUGCAGCUCUAAGUGGGUGGUAAAUUCCAUCUAAGGCUAAAUAUUGGCGAGAGACCGAUAGCGAACAAGUACAGUGAUGGAAAGAUGAAAAGCACUUUGAAAAGAGAGUGAAACAGUACGUGAAAUUGUUGAAAGGGAAGGGCUUGCACCCAGACACGGUUUCGGCCGGGCCAGCAUCAAGUAGAACGGGGUUAAAAGACUUGGGGAAUGUAGCUACUUCGGUAGUGUUAUAGCCCUUGGUGAUGACCCCUGUUUUGCUUGAGGACAGCGGUCUCUAGGAUGCUGGCGCAAUGGUUGCAAGCCACCCGUCUUGAAACAC
Molecule: ribosomal RNA, 555 nt
Filed under: Candidozyma auris
Lineage: Eukaryota; Fungi; Ascomycota; Pichiomycetes; Serinales; Metschnikowiaceae
Description: [Candida] auris partial large subunit ribosomal RNA
Rfam family: Eukaryotic large subunit ribosomal RNA
Source: RNAcentral